Micropterus salmoides (largemouth bass) is the source of this 449-nucleotide long non-coding RNA. RefSeq lists it as uncharacterized. NCBI's taxonomy places the organism in Eukaryota, Metazoa, Chordata, Actinopteri, Centrarchiformes, Centrarchidae. The transcript is spliced from 3 exons. The record is from RefSeq and is a predicted model, not a curated record.
UCGUGAAGUCGGGGUACAUAUUUUUUCUCCGACUUCACAAGUGGCGUUCCACAGUACUUUUUCUAGUCGGAGGUCGAAAAUUUCCCAGUUCCGUGUUGCGUGGAACGUAGCGUUGUCUGCCAUCUCGGUGAGUGAAGAGGAACCGGACGGAGAGGGCAACCUGUUAGCACGUUCAACCUCAUUUAACGUUAGACAGGAUAAAGGAAAACAAUUUUUUCAAGGUUGGAAUACUAAAACCAUUGAAUUUCCAUUCUGUUCUGAUGCUGGUAAGGACACCAACUGGAGAUAAACCAUCUCAUUCCCCAGGAAGGUGAUGAGCAUGUACAGACCAGCACCAGCUCAAGGCCCACAAACCACCAUUGCCAGCCGACUGAGGUCCCGUGUCUGUCAAGCAUCACAACAGAUCAUUCAUAUGCCCGAUAUCUGAGAAGGAAUGUGACUGCUAUUCC